Molecule: ribosomal RNA, 232 nt
Filed under: uncultured Anaerolineaceae bacterium
Lineage: Bacteria; Bacillati; Chloroflexota; Anaerolineae; Anaerolineales; Anaerolineaceae
Description: partial 16S ribosomal RNA
Rfam family: Bacterial small subunit ribosomal RNA
Source: RNAcentral
UGCCGGUUUUAAGCCGGAGGAGGCGAGGAUGACGUCAAGUCAGCAUGGCCUUUAUAUCCUGGGCUACACACACGCUACAAUGGUCUGUACAACAGGUUGCCAAACCGCGAGGUGGAGCCAAUCCCUAAAACAGGCCUCAGUUCAGAUUGCAGGCUGCAACCCGCCUGCAUGAAGCCGGAGUUGCUAGUAACCGCAGGUCAGCUAUACUGCGGUGAAUACGUUCCCGGGUCUU